GCGACCGUGGUCUAGCCAACCCUCGUGGGGCUCUAGAAUGGUCUAGGACCCAGGCCCCCCAAGCCUGUGACCCGGGUUCAAAUCCCGGCGGUCGCACCA
Molecule: transfer RNA, 99 nt
Filed under: Candidatus Jordarchaeales archaeon
Lineage: Archaea; Promethearchaeati; Candidatus Jordarchaeia; Candidatus Jordarchaeales
Also listed under: 1 other name
Description: tRNA-Gly
Rfam family: tRNA
About the family: Transfer RNA (tRNA) molecules are approximately 80 nucleotides in length.
Source: RNAcentral